ACAGGAGGUGGAUGAGAUUUAUGCACAUUCACAAGAGGCCAUACACCAGAUGAUGAUGGUGCAAUACUGGAAACCAUUCUUGAUGGAAGAGUCAGAGGCUUGAGAAGUUGGACAUCAGUAACUGGAAGUUUGACACCGAGGGGAGCCAAACUCUCACUCCCUGAAGAGGGUAUUCCACUUCUGGAAAAUGGUAUCUGGAAUUCCCCACUUCUUCCUUUAGCAUUCAAGAGAUCAGCUGUCUGAGAGAAGUGCUGUGGCAACUUCCAAGCUUCUCGAGGAUAUCGAGAACCCAUAAUCUGACUUCUCUCAGUUUGGAAUCCAGUUAUUUUAACAGCAGAUCCACGACUAGAACCCAGAAUGGGGACUGCAUCUUCAGCAAUAUUAGAGGAAUC
RNAcentral lists this unclassified non-coding RNA (392 nucleotides) under Hevea brasiliensis (rubber tree). The record is from RNAcentral. Lineage: Eukaryota; Viridiplantae; Streptophyta; Magnoliopsida; Malpighiales; Euphorbiaceae.